UACGUAGGCAGCAAGCGUUGUUCGGAAUUACUGGGCGUAAAGAGUGUGUAGGCGGUGUUCUAAGUCUGUUGUGAAACCUCCCGGCUUAACUGGGAGGGUGCGGCGGAAACUGGAAUGCUAGAGGAUGGGAGAGGUAAGCGGAAUUCCUGGUGUAGCGGUGAAAUGCGUAGAUAUCAGGAGGAACACCUGUGGUGUAGACAGCUUACUGGACCAUUUCUGACGCUGAGACACGAAAGCGCGGGUAGCAAACAGG
RNAcentral lists this ribosomal RNA (253 nucleotides) under uncultured bacterium. RNAcentral's name for it is "partial 16S ribosomal RNA". It matches the Rfam family "Bacterial small subunit ribosomal RNA", at positions 524 to 776 of the family's 1533-position model. The record is from RNAcentral.